Molecule: ribosomal RNA, 519 nt
Filed under: Exophiala equina
Lineage: Eukaryota; Fungi; Ascomycota; Eurotiomycetes; Chaetothyriales; Herpotrichiellaceae
Also listed under: 1 other name
Description: LSU rRNA
Rfam family: Eukaryotic large subunit ribosomal RNA
Source: RNAcentral
UCCGAGUUGUAAUUUGUAGAGGAUGUUUCGGGUACCGCCUCGGUUUAAAUUUCUUGGAACAGAAUGUCAAAGAGGGUGAGAAUCCCGUCUUGGACCGGCGGUAGGGCCCAUGUGAAACUCCUUCGACGAGUCGAGUUGUUUGGGAAUGCAGCUCAAAAUGGGUGGUAAAUUUCAUCUAAAGCUAAAUAUUGGCCAGAGACCGAUAGCGCACAAGUAGAGUGAUCGAAAGAUGAAAAGCACUUUGAAAAGAGAGUUAAACAGUAUGUGAAAUUGUUGAAAGGGAAGCGCUUACAACCAGACUUGCGCGCGGCGGUUCCCCCUUCCUUUUGGUUGGGCUACUCCGUCGUGUCCAGGCCAACAUCGGUUCUGGGGGUCGGUUAAAGACCCUGGGAAUGUAUCUACCCUUCGGGCGUAGACUUAUAGCUCAGGGUGUCAUGCGACCUCCCGGGACCGAGGAACGCGCUUCGGCUCGGAUGUUGGCGUAAUGGUUGUCAGCGACCCGUCUUGAAACACGGACCA